Odocoileus virginianus texanus is the source of this 381-nucleotide non-coding RNA. The record is from RefSeq and is a predicted model, not a curated record. Lineage: Eukaryota; Metazoa; Chordata; Mammalia; Artiodactyla; Cervidae.
CUGGCUUUGCACGGGAGAGUGACGUUCCAAAGUACACGCAUCCUUUUAUUACCUGUGAGAUGCUCAGGAGGAAUGGAAACUCCACAAGAAACAGAUUCCCAGAGUCGCAACCGCAGUUGAGCAAGAGCUUCAGGCAGGAAGUGGACCCAGGAGAGGUAGCUCCAAAAUCAGGAAGCCUGUAACCUUGCUCCCAGAUGAGAAUGGACAACAGCAGUACCGUGUAGAGGCCGGGAUUUGUGCUUACCUGUUUGUAUCUGUCAUCUCCAGCACUCUUGCUUAUAGAACUCCUGCUUAUAGAACACUCAGCUUAUAGAAAUGAGUCCAAAGAUGUACAUAAACCCUCCCCCAGUGACAGGAAAACCAUCUGAAGGGCAAGUGACA